This 468-nucleotide ribosomal RNA is filed under the name uncultured bacterium. RNAcentral's name for it is "partial 16S ribosomal RNA". It matches the Rfam family "Bacterial small subunit ribosomal RNA", at positions 28 to 507 of the family's 1533-position model. The record is from RNAcentral.
GACGAACGCUGGCGGCGUGCUUAACACAUGCAAGUCGAACGGAAAGGCCCUGCUUUUGUGGGGUGCUCGAGUGGCGAACGGGUGAGUAACACGUGAGUAACCUGCCCUUGACUUUGGGAUAACUUCAGGAAACUGGGGCUAAUACCGGAUAGGAGCCCCUGCUGCAUGGUGGGGGUUGGAAAGUUUCGGCGGUUGGGGAUGGACUCGCGGCUUAUCAGCUUGUUGGUGGGGUAGUGGCUUACCAAGGCUUUGACGGGUAGCCGGCCUGAGAGGGUGACCGGCCACAUUGGGACUGAGAUACGGCCCAGACUCCUACGGGAGGCAGCAGUGGGGAAUAUUGCACAAUGGGCGGAGGCCUGAUGCAGCAACGCCGCGUGCGGGAUGACGGCCUUCGGGUUGUAAACCGCUUUCGCCUGUGACGAAGCGUGAGUGACGGUAAUGGGUAAAGAAGCACCGGCUAACUACGUG